GCAUAUCAAUAAGCGGAGGAAAAGAAAAUAACAAUGAUUCCCUUAGUAACGGCGAGUGAAGAGGGAUAAGCUCAAAUUUUAAAUCUGUUUGGUUAUACUAAACAGAGUUGUAAUUUGAAGAAACGUUUUCUGCGUCUUGAAUUAGCCUAAAUCCUUUGGGAUAAGGUAUCAUGGAGGGUGACAAUCCCGUUCAUGGUUAAUUCUAAGGUGCUUUACGAUACGUUUUCCAAGAGUCGAGUUGUUUGGGAUUGCAGCUCAAAAUGGGAGGUAAAUUUCUCCUAAAGCUAAAUAUUGGCGAGAGACCGAUAGCGAACAAGUACCGUGAGGGAAAGAUGAAAAGAACUUUGAAAAGAGAGUUAAACAGUACGUGAAAUUGUUGAAAGGGAAACGAUUGAAGUCAGUCGUACCAACGGGAAAUCAACCUUUGGAGCAUGAAUUUGUGGAUCUUGAAGAGUUUCAAACCUUCGGGUUUACAUAUUUGCGUUCUUUGGGCGUACUUUCUCGUACGGUAGGUUAACAUCGAUUUUGAACAUUAUAAAAUGACUGGAGGAAUGUAGCUUCGAUCUCGUAUUGAAGUGUUAUAGCCUUUGGUAGAUGUAAUGAUCAAGAUCGAGGAUUGCAACGAAUACCCUUUUGGGCUAUCCGUCUGAUCUCUAAUACGUUACCUUGGUAUCGAAAGCGUGCUUUCGCUAUUAAGGUUAACGGUUAAUAGGUUAAAACGUGAUUAAAUUCGUUAAGGAUGUUGACGUA
RNAcentral lists this ribosomal RNA (750 nucleotides) under uncultured Glomerales. RNAcentral's name for it is "LSU rRNA". It matches the Rfam family "Eukaryotic large subunit ribosomal RNA", at positions 38 to 633 of the family's 3401-position model. Lineage: Eukaryota; Fungi; Glomeromycota; Glomeromycetes; Glomerales; Glomeraceae. The record is from RNAcentral.